RNAcentral lists this ribosomal RNA (492 nucleotides) under uncultured bacterium. RNAcentral describes it as "partial 16S ribosomal RNA". It matches the Rfam family "Bacterial small subunit ribosomal RNA", at positions 29 to 507 of the family's 1533-position model. The record is from RNAcentral.
AGUGAACGCUGGCGGUAGGCCUAACACAUGCAAGUCGAACGGCAGCACAGUAAGAGCUUGCUCUUACGGGUGGCGAGUGGCGGACGGGUGAGGAAUACAUCGGAAUCUACUUUUUCGUGGGGGAUAACGUAGGGAAACUUACGGUAAUACCGCAUACGACCUACGGGUGAAAGCAGGGGAUCUUCGGACCUUGCGCGAUUGAAUGAGCCGAUGUCGGAUUAGCUAGUUGGCGGGGUAAAGGCCCACCAAGGCGACGAUCCGUAGCUGGUCUGAGAGGAUGAUCAGCCACACUGGAACUGAGACACGGUCCAGACUCCUACGGGAGGCAGCAGUGGGGAAUAUUGGACAAAGGGCGCAAGCCUGAUCCAGCCAUACCGCGUGGGUGAAGAAGGCCUUCGGGUUGUAAAGCCCUUUUGUUGGGAAAGAAAAGCAGCAGGUUAAUACCCCGCUGUUCUGACGGUACCCAAAGAAUAAGCACCGGCUAACUUCGUG